This 71-nucleotide transfer RNA is filed under the name marine eukaryotic metagenome. It matches the Rfam family "tRNA". From Rfam's summary of the family: Transfer RNA (tRNA) molecules are approximately 80 nucleotides in length. The record is from RNAcentral.
CCGAUGUAGCUCAGUUGGUAGAGCAACGCAUUCGUAAUGCGUGGGUCGGGGGUUCGAAUCCCUCCAUCGGC